Molecule: ribosomal RNA, 1060 nt
Filed under: Salmonella enterica
Lineage: Bacteria; Pseudomonadati; Pseudomonadota; Gammaproteobacteria; Enterobacterales; Enterobacteriaceae
Description: partial 23S ribosomal RNA
Rfam family: Bacterial large subunit ribosomal RNA
Source: RNAcentral
AAUCCAUAGGUUAAUGAGGCGAACCGGGGGAACUGAAACAUCUAAGUACCCCGAGGAAAAGAAAUCAACCGAGAUUCCCCCAGUAGCGGCGAGCGAACGGGGAGGAGCCCAGAGCCUGAAUCAGCAUGUGUGUUAGUGGAAGCGUCUGGAAAGGCGCGCGAUACAGGGUGACAGCCCCGUACACAAAAGCGCAUGUGCUGUGAGCUCGAUGAGUAGGGCGGGACACGUGGUAUCCUGUCUGAAUAUGGGGGGACCAUCCUCCAAGGCUAAAUACUCCUGACUGACCGAUAGUGAACCAGUACCGUGAGGGAAAGGCGAAAAGAACCCCGGCGAGGGGAGUGAAAAAGAACCUGAAACCGUGUACGUACAAGCAGUGGGAGCACAGGUUUACCUGUGUGACUGCGUACCUUUUGUAUAAUGGGUCAGCGACUUAUAUUCUGUAGCAAGGUUAACCGUAUAGGGGAGCCGUAGGGAAACCGAGUCUUAAUUGGGCGUUAAGUUGCAGGGUAUAGACCCGAAACCCGGUGAUCUAGCCAUGGGCAGGUUGAAGGUUGGGUAACACUAACUGGAGGACCGAACCGACUAAUGUUGAAAAAUUAGCGGAUGACCUGUGGCUGGGGGUGAAAGGCCAAUCAAACCGGGAGAUAGCUGGUUCUCCCCGAAAGCUAUUUAGGUAGCGCCUCGUGAAUUCAUCUCCGGGGGUAGAGCACUGUUUCGGCUAGGGGGCCAUCCCGGCUUACCAACCCGAUGCAAACUGCGAAUACCGGAGAAUGUUAUCACGGGAGACACACGGCGGGUGCUAACGUCCGUCGUGAAGAGGGAAACAACCCAGACCGCCAGCUAAGGUCCCAAAGUCAUGGUUAAGUGGGAAACGAUGUGGGAAGGCCCAGACAGCCAGGAUGUUGGCUUAGAAGCAGCCAUCAUUUAAAGAAAGCGUAAUAGCUCACUGGUCGAGUCGGCCUGCGCGGAAGAUGUAACGGGGCUAAACCAUGCACCGAAGCUGCGGCAGCGACGCUUAUGCGUUGUUGGGUAGGGGAGCGUUCUGUAAGCCUGUGAAGGU